This 275-nucleotide long non-coding RNA is filed under the name Ananas comosus (pineapple). RNAcentral's name for it is "long non-coding RNA (ACOM_LNC013435)". Lineage: Eukaryota; Viridiplantae; Streptophyta; Magnoliopsida; Poales; Bromeliaceae. The record is from RNAcentral.
AACGGAUUUGGGUUCUAAUGCAUGGUUUUUUAGAAAAAGAGUUUUAUUGGAUUUAUAUGUAUAUUUAUAUGCGGUUAUAGUGUGGAAUGCAAAGAGGGUUGGUUACGUCGUAAAUCGAUGACCAAAUCGGACAAAACGAAAUGCUAGAUUCAAUGCCCCAGUCGUACUGAACGCGCUGGCGUGAUCCGAUCGAAAAUCUGACUGACAGAUCUUCAGAAAACGUGAAAAGUUCGCUGAAGGGUCGAAAUUAGCAAAAACGGAAAAUUCGUAAAAGG